UUGAAUAAUAGAAUGAUAAUUCUGGCAGACAAAAUUUUAUACAUAAGAGUCAAUUCAAAUAAUAAGGCUUUGAAAGAUGGAAGCCACCGUGUGGAGUUUGGAUUGUUUGAAUGAACACAUGCUUAAUGAGCUUACAAAUAUAUUGAAUAACAAAGUGUUUAUGGUAGAUCGAUUUGGAGAUAAAUAACUACUAGCUAAAGAAUAAAGAGGAAAAGCCAAGGGCUUGGAAAGUUGAAAUUUGAGCUUUUGAAUUGAGUUGAGAUGUAUUAUGCAUUGUGUCCUUUUGU
This 287-nucleotide long non-coding RNA is filed under the name Theobroma cacao (cacao). Its description in RNAcentral is "long non-coding RNA (TCAC_LNC001542)". Lineage: Eukaryota; Viridiplantae; Streptophyta; Magnoliopsida; Malvales; Malvaceae. The record is from RNAcentral.